Molecule: unclassified non-coding RNA, 620 nt
Filed under: Hevea brasiliensis (rubber tree)
Lineage: Eukaryota; Viridiplantae; Streptophyta; Magnoliopsida; Malpighiales; Euphorbiaceae
Source: RNAcentral
AUCCAUGACAUUAGUGGUAUUCUCCCUCCACCCUGUUGAUUGUUUGGCUAUUGUGACUGACUCUUCAUCUACUUCCCGCAUCUUUCCCUUGAGACGCAUAACAUCCUAUGGUAAGCGAACAGCUUCGCAAGUCAUUGACCGUCUUUUCUUCAUGGGGCAAGCAGAUCCGACUGAAGGCCUCAAGAAAGGUAUAAAGAUACUUGAAAAUUGUGCGCACGAGAAUCCAAAUUCCUGUAUCUUGCAUCUCUCUUAUAGUACAACAAGAUCAUACCAUGCCAUCAACAUGCAAUAUCCCAUUCCAAUCCAUCGGUUUCAUGUGGAAUUUGGCGUUGGAACUUCUAAUAGAUUUGUCAUGCAUGAGUUUGACAAGUUCUUAGUGAGACUGCUUGGAGGUGUGAUCAGAGAUGUCCAAUUGAAAAUUGGGAAAAAGGCAGGAUAGUAAGGCUUGGAGAACCAAGAGUCAAUGAAGACAGGAGAAUUUUAUUAGAAUUAGGCGAUUCUGGACAUGUUUACGUGGGAUACAGCUACAUUGAAGGUGUAGUUAAUGAGUGCGCCGGAACAGGAGAAAAUUGUGAUUAGUUUAAGGGAUAAACGGUAAGCACAUGAUCCUAACAUAGAUG